AUCUUGUUCUCAUCUUUUGACCAGAUUGACUCUUCUAUUCAAACAAUUUCAAGUCUAAGGCUAAACCGUACAACUUCAUUGGAUUUCUCAAGCGGUGUUCGUCUAAACCGCACACCAUUUGAGCGGUAUUCAUCUAAACCGCGUGUAGCUUGAACGGAGAAGAGGUAAACUGCAGAAGCCUUGACCGGUUUGUUAUCCGGUUUGUUUCAAAGCAUCAAUCAGUUUUCGAGACUAAGUCUGAAUCGCUCAAAGCAUCAACGGAUUCUUGAGCGGAUUUAUUGAAGUCUGGACCGGAUUCGUAUACCGCUCAAUCAAUAUCAUCGGAUUAGUAAAUCGUUCAAAUCAAAAGGUUUACACUUAAAGGGAUGUCCGGUUUAUACUCUUGUCUCUGUCCGAUUUAAACUGUUAACAGGUCUAUUAUUACUGCUCUUAAUUGCUCUUAACAAGCGUCA
Cynara cardunculus var. scolymus (artichoke) is the source of this 452-nucleotide long non-coding RNA. RefSeq lists it as uncharacterized. NCBI's taxonomy places the organism in Eukaryota, Viridiplantae, Streptophyta, Magnoliopsida, Asterales, Asteraceae. The record is from RefSeq and is a predicted model, not a curated record. The transcript is spliced from 3 exons.